CGAGAGAGAGCUUGCUUUCUCGAGCGAGUGGCCAACGGGUGAGUAACGCGUGAGGUACCUGCCUCAAAGACGGCGACAACAGUUGGAAACGACUGCUAAUACCGCAUAAGCCCACGGGUCGGCAUCGACCAGAGGGAAAAGGAGCAAUCCGCUUUGAGAUGGCCUCGCGUCCGAUUAUCUAGUUGGUGAGGUAACGGCCCACCAAGGCAACGAUCGGUAGCCGGACUGAGAGGUUGAACGGCCACAUUGGGACUGAGACACGGCCCAGACUCCUACGGGAGGCAGCAGUGGGGAAUAUUGCACAAUGGGGGAAACCCUGAUGCAGCGACGCCGCGUGGAGGAAGAAGGUCUUCGGAUUGUAAACUCCUGUCGUUGGGGAAGAUAAUGACGGUACCCAACAAGGAAGUGACGGCUAACUACGUGCCAGCAGCCGCGGUAAAACGUAGGUCACAAGCGUUGUCCGGAAUUACUGGGUGUAAAGGGAGCGCAGGCGGGAAGACAAGUUGGAAGUGAAAUCUAUGGGCUCAACCCAUAAACUGCUUUCAAAACUGUUUUUCUUGAGUAGUGCAGAGGUAGGCGGAAUUCCCGGUGUAGCGGUGGAAUGCGUAGAUAUCGGGAGGAACACCAGUGGCGAAGGCGGCCUACUGGGCACCAACUGACGCUGAGGCUUGAAAGUGUGGGUAGCAAACAAAAUAGAUCCCCUGGUAGUCCACACCGUAAACGAUGAUUAUUAGGUGUUGGAGGGAUUGACCCCUUCAGUGCCGCAGAUAACACAAUAAGUAAUCCACCUGGGGAGUACGACCGCAAGGUUGAAACUCAAAGGAAUUGACGGGGGCCCGCACAAGCAGUGGAGUAUGUGGUUUAAUUCGACGCAACGCGAAGAACCUUACCAAGUCUUGACAUCCCUUGACAGGCAUAGAAAUAUGUUUUCUCUUCGGAGCAAGGAGACAGGUGGUGCAUGGUUGUCGUCAGCUCGUGUCGUGAGAUGUUGGGUUAAGUCCCGCAACGAGCGCAACCCUUAUGGUCAGUUACUACGCAAGAGGACUCUGGCCAGACUGCCGUUGACAAAACGGAGGAAGGUGGGGAUGACGUCAAAUCAUCAUGCCCUUUAUGACUUGGGCUACACACGUACUACAAUGGCGUUAAACAAAGAGAAGCAAGACCGCGAGGUGGAGCAAAACUCAGAAACAACGUCCCAGUUCGGACUGCAGGCUGCAACUCGCCUGCACGAAGUCGGAAUCGCUAGUAAUCGUGGAUCAGCAUGCCACGGUGAAUACGUUCCCGGGCUCUUGCACA
Molecule: ribosomal RNA, 1296 nt
Filed under: uncultured bacterium
Lineage: Bacteria
Description: bacterial SSU rRNA
Rfam family: Bacterial small subunit ribosomal RNA
Source: RNAcentral